Saccoglossus kowalevskii is the source of this 401-nucleotide long non-coding RNA. Lineage: Eukaryota; Metazoa; Hemichordata; Enteropneusta; Harrimaniidae. The record is from RefSeq and is a predicted model, not a curated record.
GUCGGUGUCAGCUGCUUCGUAGUUUAUAUGUACCUGAAUCAGAGAAAAAUGUGGUAUUUCAACUCGGGAUUCUUGAUGAAGGCGAACUUUUUGGCGCUGAAGGCCUGAUGAAUGAGAGUCGCAGUUUACACAGUGUAGUUGCCAUGGGAAUAGUCACGUGUUUUAGAAUCAAAAAGUAAAAUUGAUUUUGACAGCGUUGCUAGGGAGCCAUUAUUAAAAUUGUUACGUGCCUAUACGAAAUCCACCUAUAUCGGUGACGUGGCGGUGAAGAACUAUGGGUAUGACAAGUCGGUUUGGGAGGAAUAUAAACGUCAGGAAGUGAUCACGUCACUGAUAAAAAAGCCGGGAGGAGAACAAAUUAUAAGCAAAAUAAUUCCACAUGAUGUAAAUAUCAAGAAGCG